GAUGAACGCUAGCUACAGGCUUAACACAUGCAAGUCGAGGGGCAGCAUGGUCUUAGCUUGCUAAGGCCGAUGGCGACCGGCGCACGGGUGAGUAACACGUAUCCAACCUGCCGUCUACUCUUGGACAGCCUUCUGAAAGGAAGAUUAAUACAAGAUGGCAUCAUGAGUCCGCAUGUUCACAUGAUUAAAGGUAUUCCGGUAGACGAUGGGGAUGCGUUCCAUUAGAUAGUAGGCGGGGUAACGGCCCACCUAGUCUUCGAUGGAUAGGGGUUCUGAGAGGAAGGUCCCCCACAUUGGAACUGAGACACGGUCCAAACUCCUACGGGAGGCAGCAGUGAGGAAUAUUGGUCAAUGGGCGAGAGCCUGAACCAGCCAAGUAGCGUGAAGGAUGACUGCCCUAUGGGUUGUAAACUUCUUUUAUAAAGGAAUAAAGUCGGGUAUGGAUACCCGUUUGCAUGUACUUUAUGAAUAAGGAUCGGCUAACUCCGUGCCAGCAGCCGCGGUAAUACGGAGGAUCCGAGCGUUAUCCGGAUUUAUUGGGUUUAAAGGGAGCGUAGAUGGAUAUUUAAGUCAGUUGUGAAAGUUUGCGGCUCAACCGUAAAAUUGCAGUUGAUACUGGAUAUCUUGAGUGCAGUUGAGGCAGGCGGAAUUCGUGGUGUAGCGGUGAAAUGCUUAGAUAUCACGAAGAACUCCGAUUGCGAAGGCAGCCUGCUAA
Molecule: ribosomal RNA, 715 nt
Filed under: uncultured Bacteroidales bacterium
Lineage: Bacteria; Pseudomonadati; Bacteroidota; Bacteroidia; Bacteroidales
Description: bacterial SSU rRNA
Rfam family: Bacterial small subunit ribosomal RNA
Source: RNAcentral